ACUGGGGAAGCUCGCGACCGGAGCAAAUCGCGGUGUCAAUCCGGGCGGCCGAGACGCCCCAGCCUGAGAUCUCGAGGGAAUCAGGGACAGCUGUACUAGGUUCAGGUUAGGCCACAGCCCUGGGAGUCUGAAGGAGGGUCGUGAGAACUCGGGCGACAGGGCCAGGUUGGGGGACGGACGGCAGUGCCGGUUCGUCAGGCCUGCAACGAGUGGCAAGAAGUCUCCUCUCCGGCAUCCCCGCCCCGCCGCUUCCGCUUCAGCGGGACUGGGCAUUUGGAAUGCUCCUCUUCGGGAUCCGGCAACAGGAGCUGCAGUGCACGUCUUAUCGAAGAAGGGAGCUUCGGUUCUUUUCCUCCCUCCAUUCCUUCCACUCUCUCCUCUCGACAGAUGUUGAAAACUCCUUGGCCUAGCCUAAAAUACCAGCGGACAGUUCCACCUCCAGCUAAUGAAGAAAACUCCUCUGGAAUACCUUGGAAUUUUCAGCCAGCUUCUGCUUCAUUUCUUCCAGUAGAAGAGGAAUCACUACCUCACAAGACAUCCAUUGACUUGGGGGCAGCUUUAUUUGUUAAGAGUGUCUUGUUUAUAGAACUCUUUUUUUCCUUAGUAAAGUAUAGAGGAUUUCAAAGUCAUUUGCUUAGAUUUCAUCAAAGAUGAUCAUAUUAUCUUGUGUUGGGCUUCUUUAUCUUGAAAUACAAAGAAUUCGCCAUUGUUUGGCUUCUAGGUUAAGACUACUGUUUGUGGAGAACACAAGCAAAAGCUAAAGCUUUGAGAAAGUAUCAGGAUUUGGUAUUCAGCAUACAUGUUGCAGGGCUACCCAUGGCCUUGCUCUGAGACCUACUUGGAGAGCCCUAGUUAUUUAUCACUUCCCCCAGGGCUGGGUUCAGACUAUACUGAUGGUAAAAGUUUUGUAGAAUGGUUGUUAGAAUCUCAUGUUCUCUUUUUAGCCAGACAAAAAAAGCCUUUCAAAAAAGUUAAAUUCUCUUUCAUUGCUGUGAAAAUUGGCAUAAAAGUUAAUCUCUUACCUGUCAAGUAUCCAAACCAUUCACCAAAUGAAACUAAGAACUUAGAUGGCUUCCUUAAAAAAAAUUCAUACAGAUUCUACUAUCUAAUAUAGAAAAGAAAGAAAAAUCCCAGAUUAUUUGGCCAUUGUCCUCCCAUUGGAAUCAAGAUAAUAUGCUUUUUAUUGUUAUAUACUUAAUAAUUUUUUUGCAAAUUUAUAUCUAGUUUUAUGGUCCCUAUUUAUCUCAUCUUUUUUAUUAUUGAAGUGUGUGGUUGAUUUAUUGAGUUAGUCUCUAUAUAGCCCAGUUAGCUUCUUUCUUUGCUGUUGUUAUAGAUUAUACUAGUCAGCUAUCUCUCAAAUUCUACCCUCUUACAAAUGUAAAUGUUGGUUACAAGAGCAAGGUGGAAUCAAGAUCAGCACAAAUUAAUCACAACCACUGUGAAAUAUCUGCUUUAUUGAUGGUACUUCAAGAGCAUCACCUUUCCACAUACAUCAGGAAUUAUGACUUUAUGAUAAACUUGCUCUUGCUGCAAGAGUGCAAGAGUUAAUAGGUUGGAUUAAAAGACAAGACUGAUUCUUAGUCCUAGCCCUGACAUUGAACUUGGAAGUACCUGAUGGACUCUAUAUUUGCCCACUGUAAAGACCACUAUUUUUUAAAGUAUAAUAUUGGCUUUACUCCCUGUGUUGUACAAUAUAUCCCAGUAGCUUAUUUUAUACUUAAUAGUUUGUACAUCUUAAUCCCCUACUCCUAUAUUGCCCCUCUCCUCUCCCCUCUCUCCACCGGUAACCACUAAUUUAUUCUCUUUAUCUGUGAAUCUGUUUCUUUUUUGUUAUAUUCACCAGUUUGUUGUAUUUUUUAGAUUCUACAUAUAAGUGAUAUCAUGUAGUACUUGUCUUUCUCUGAAAAGACCACUAUUGAAAAUUUAGCUGAAAGAAAGAGAGGAAGGAGAUGAAUUAUAAUGUAACUAUCAUUUCAAAGGUUCAGGCAAAAGAUCUUUCUGAGUAACUGUCUUAAAAUUUAGAGUUUUUUUUUUUUUAAUUAAAUUCACUUUUUUUGUG
Molecule: long non-coding RNA, 2059 nt
Filed under: Sus scrofa (pig)
Lineage: Eukaryota; Metazoa; Chordata; Mammalia; Artiodactyla; Suidae
Description: lncRNA (ENSSSCG00025009687.1)
Source: RNAcentral